This 1062-nucleotide long non-coding RNA is filed under the name Sus scrofa (pig). RNAcentral's name for it is "lncRNA (ENSSSCG00070020970.1)". The record is from RNAcentral. Lineage: Eukaryota; Metazoa; Chordata; Mammalia; Artiodactyla; Suidae.
AUGUACCUGUCCCCUUCCCAUCGGUCAGGUCAGGGCUCACAUUCUUCUCCGGUGGCUAAUUUGAAACAAAUGGUUACUGGGAGAAGAGGGAAAGAGGAGGGGGGUCUCAGGAGGGCAUUUCAGCCGAAACCAGAGCAAAAUGGAGUCACCAAGAUUUCCAUUGAUGGAAAAGGCAUUAUGUUACUUCCCACAGUUCUAAGUGUGAAGUUGGUCUCUGAGGAGCCCCUCUGGACUUUUAGCACUAGCGGCCCCCCUGGUCCCAGGGGCAACAGCAUUGACCCUGAGUGCUCCUGGCAGCAAAGGAGAGCCUGGCCCCACUGGUAUUCAAGGCCCCCUGGCCCUGCUGGAGAAGAGGGCAAGAGAGGAGUCCAAGGUGAACCUGGACCUACUGGCCUGCCUGGACUCCCUGGCGAGUGUUGUGGACCGGGUGCUGCUGGAGAGCCUGGCAAAACUGGAGAGCGAGGUGUUCCUGGACCUCCGGCACUGUCGGUCCUGCUGGCAAAGAUGGAGAAGCUGGAGGUCAGGGACCCCCUGGACUUACAAGCCCCACUGCAGGCAAACCCAGUGACCCUGGUGCUCCUGGCCCCUGUGGAGCAAGAGGCAAGAGAGGUUUCCCCAGCGAGCAUGGUGAGCCUGAGCUCCCUGGCCCAGCUGGCUUCGCUGCCCCCCCCCCCCCCCCCGGUGCUAAUGACCAACCUGGUGCUGAAGGUUAUCCUGGCACUGCUGGUGCUAAAGGCGAUGCUGGGCCUCUGGCCCAUGCUCCUGGACCCAAAGAUGCACAUAGACGUGCUGGUCCGAUGUGCUGGUCCUCCUGGCGCUACUGGUUUCGCCAUAAGGUGUUUAAUCUCUGAGGUGAUUGGGAAAAUCAUGUUAACCAGAGCAGCAUUGGCUUUCAGCCCUCCCAACAGAAAAGGGACAGUUAGCCCGGUGUUUUACUCCUUCCCUAGGCAGGCCUACGCCCUGUCUCAGCAGGAAGUAGUUACCGAAGGGUCACCACCCCAUAUCCCCUUUAGGCAUAAAGGGGUAAAACACCUGGAGGGGGGAAUGAUAGGGAUGGAGUAG